GCCAUAACAGUAUUAAAGGUCCCACCUGCCCAGUGAAAUUUUUAAACGGCCGCGGUAUCCUAACCGUGCAAAGGUAGCGUAAUCACUUGUCCCCUAAAUAGGGACUAGUAUGAAAGGUUAAAUGAGGACAAACCUGUCUCUUGCGGAAGAUCAGUGAAACUGAACUUCCAGUACAAAUGCUGGAAUAUCCACACAAGACGAGAAGACCCUGUGGAGCUUCAAAACUACCCUCAAACAAUAAAUUGAGCCCGAGUUUUCAGUUGGGGCGACUUCGGAACAAAAAAAAGCUUCCGAGCACCAAGAGAUCCCCUCUUGCAGCGGCCAACAAGCCAAAGCAUCAACAACCCAUGACCCGGAUUUGAUUCCGACUAACGAACCAAGUUACCCCAGGGAUAACAGCGCUAUCUUCUUUAAGAGUCCAUAUCAACAAGAAGGCUUACGACCUCGAUGUUGGAUCAGGACACCCAAAUGGUGCAGCCGCUAUUAACGGUUCGUUUGUUCAACGAUUAACAGUCCUACGUGAUCUGAGUUCAGACCGGAGU
This 542-nucleotide ribosomal RNA is filed under the name Smaug regius. RNAcentral describes it as "partial 16S ribosomal RNA". It matches the Rfam family "Bacterial large subunit ribosomal RNA", at positions 1825 to 2622 of the family's 2925-position model. The record is from RNAcentral. Lineage: Eukaryota; Metazoa; Chordata; Lepidosauria; Squamata; Cordylidae.